Molecule: long non-coding RNA, 247 nt
Filed under: Helianthus annuus (common sunflower)
Lineage: Eukaryota; Viridiplantae; Streptophyta; Magnoliopsida; Asterales; Asteraceae
Description: hypothetical non coding rna
Source: RNAcentral
GACGACGACGACGACGACGACGACGACGACGACGACGACGACGACGACGACGACGACGACGACGACGACGACGACGACGACGACGACGACGACGACGACGACGACGACGACGACGACGACGACGACGACGACGACGACGACGACGACGACGACGACGACGACGACGACGACGACGACGACGACGACGACGACGACGACGACGACGACGACGACGACGACGACGACGACGACGACGACGACGACGACG